This is a long non-coding RNA of Sebastes umbrosus (honeycomb rockfish), 436 nucleotides long. RefSeq lists it as uncharacterized. The record is from RefSeq and is a predicted model, not a curated record. The transcript is spliced from 2 exons. Lineage: Eukaryota; Metazoa; Chordata; Actinopteri; Perciformes; Sebastidae.
AACGACAGUUUAUAGUUUUAACGGUAAUACAUGCAGCUCAUCACAUCAUAACAACUCGACAGGAGGAGGAAGAGGUCAGAUGAAGGUGUGCUUACAUCCGCAGCGAAGGUAUGAAAGAAGGGCUGAGGAGAGGAGUAAAUGAUCUGGUUGUAGAGCUCCUGUUCCCACACCUGCCUUCCUGUCUGUGGAAAUAACAUGACGCAGAUGAAUGUGCUAUACUUCCAUUUACAGAGGGAGGCAGUGCACUGUUGCUCUUCUCCUGCCGUGAGUACAUCCAUUUUACAGCCACACAGAUGAACAUUUAGUUUUAUUAAAAAGCAACUUCAGACUUUUUAUACAAACAUUUUAUUGACGGAUAACAACAUUCAAAUUAAUUUAAAAAUGUACACGAAGAAUAGCAAAGUCAAAAAAUCUUUUAGUCAAAUUUUUUAAAGAC